GUGCAUGGUUUGACAGUAUGAUAUACGUUGCCACAACAGCAAACAUAAUCACAUCAAUAACAUAGGUUUAUACAUAUGUGGCAUAGAAGUAAAAGCACGUUUUUUUAAAACAUUUUUUAAACGUAGUAAGGCAAUCUAGUAGUAUAUGUCAUGCAAGUAUCAACAUUAGUUAAUUCGUCCUUUAAGCUUUGUCGUCAAUUAAGUUAAGCUAGAAACAGGCUUGAACAGUGAUAACCAUAAGUUUACACAACUAUGCAUAGACACUUUAUGCUGUAAAUGGUUUGGCUAGUAGGCAUGGAAAACAUAGGCUCUCAACAUACUAUAGGUACAGGAACAUUUUGGUUGCUGGCUGGCAACGUCCAUUUGCAGAGUUGGGUUGCGGUAGGGUCACCCUGCGUCAGUAAUAUAUGCAAACUUUAAAAAAAUGAAAUAACACAACGUAACAUUAGUUCAGGUAUAUCAAAUAUAUCUGAGGUGUGCCCACUAGGUAAAACCUGUUCGACGGUGUCUGCAGGAGAAAGUCUCAGCAUGCUAGUAUGCAUAGCUCGCGUGUCGGUCUUCCGGCCUGCCUGCGCCCGGCGGUGAAGGGCUGGUGCAUCCCCAGUGUGGCCUAUUCAGCCGAUACCCCGCUUGUGUAUGGGUGUUGCAGUUGAUGAAGGUGUCUGGCUGGGAGCCGCUAUGGUCGGCUUCAUGCAGGGUGUUACAGUCCCUUGAGUGAAUGAUCUCUGGGGUGCUGUGUGUAUAAUGUGGGUGCUCCUUGGUCGGUCCCAUCCCGACCGGCUGUUAUAGUGGGGCUGGGCAUGCUCGAAUCCUCCAGCCCGGGUUGUAGCGGAGAGCACUUCCCUGCGUCCUCGGGUCCUUCUCCCAC
Pelobates cultripes (western spadefoot toad) is the source of this 868-nucleotide non-coding RNA. The record is from the annotation of a GenBank genome assembly. Lineage: Eukaryota; Metazoa; Chordata; Amphibia; Anura; Pelobatidae.